This 253-nucleotide ribosomal RNA is filed under the name uncultured bacterium. Its description in RNAcentral is "partial 16S ribosomal RNA". It matches the Rfam family "Bacterial small subunit ribosomal RNA", at positions 524 to 776 of the family's 1533-position model. The record is from RNAcentral.
UACGGGGGGGGCAAGCGUUGUUCGGAAUUACUGGGCGUAAAGGGCUCGUAGGCGGCCAACUAAGUCAGACGUGAAAUCCCUCGGCUCAACCGAGGAACUGCACUCGAUACUGGUCGGCUAGAGUCCGGGAGGGGAUGGUGGAAUUCCCAGUGUAGCGGUGAAAUGCGUAGAUAUUGGGAAGAACACCGGUGGCGAAGGCGGCCAUCUGGACCGGAACUGACGCUGAGGCGCGAAAGCCAGGGGAGCGAAUGGG